Molecule: RNA transcript, 8528 nt
Organism: Callithrix jacchus (white-tufted-ear marmoset)
Lineage: Eukaryota; Metazoa; Chordata; Mammalia; Primates; Cebidae
Source: RefSeq, a predicted model, not a curated record
UAUGUAUAUAUGUAUGUAUAUGUAUGUCUGUAUGUAUAUGUAUGUAUAUGUAUGUAUGUGUGUGUAUAUGUAUGUAUGUAUGUAUAUAUGUGUGUAUGUAUGUAUGUGUAUGUAUGUAUGUAUAUGUAUGAUCAGCAUCCCUUCCUAAUGUUGCAUUUCUUUCAUAAGGUUCUAGAAGACCAAUCAUGCAACUGGGGGUCACAGGAAUGGUGGGUGUUGGUCUCAGUCAAGGGAGCUAAAGAAAGGCUGGACUCAUUAGAGAAAGCUCCUAGAGAAAACACCCAUGUGCUGUGCAGAGGCUGAAUCCCAGCAUCCAGGCCCCCAAGCAGGGCUUGCUCCUAGAGCUGCUUGGGACUCCCUGGAAAUAUCUAGGAAGCUUUCCCAAGGAGCGAGUCCAAAGUGGACCAUAUUGAGUUUUGCAGGCUCCGAACACAUUACGAACAACAGAAACACUCAUGCAGAAGAGUGGUAAACGUGAGGUAUAGAAGUGAGUUUCGCUUUGUAACCCUAGGAAAGUGCCAGUCUAUCUGCUUUUGAAUGUGCAGCUACUAAAGAUAAUCUCUAAGAAAUGCUCCCUUUGUUCUGCCUGCUCUUUUGUUCCCUGGAAACAGACAGGUGGGAGUGAGAGGAAUAGGUGCUUGGGGAGCGUUCCCAGAGAUGAAGGCGGUGCUGGCGUGGACGUCUGAGCCAAGGCAGGCACCUUCAUGGUCACCUGCUGCCAAAUGAACAGCAAGAGACAGGAGCAAAUAAAGGAGCUCGUGCACAGCGGGGGCUGACGUGCCUCCCAGCAGGAGACGCACAUACGAGGGAAAUUGUCUUGGGACACUUGGCGGUUGCUAGAAUAGCUGCUUUGCAUAAUGAAUUCCUGGCCUAAUGGGUAUGUAGAUCCCAGCACUUGGGGCAAGACUGUUUUUGGUUUAGCUCACACACCAGAAAAUAGAAUGUGCCAAUAUGAAUUGAAAAUUCUUAAAAGGGAUCAGUGUAAUCCCUAUUUAAUUUGGACUUUUCCUCUUAAAUUCAUUUUGCAAAUGGUAAGACAUUCUAGUAACGGACACAAAGGCAUUUUUAUACAUGCGGAACACACUUCACCCUGGGAAUAGUCCACUUGCCCCUAAUUGAGAUCAUAAAGGAGGGGGAAGCCUUGCAAAGAAACCUCUGCAAAUGCAGAAGAGAGCUCUCGAUGCCGUCCCAGUGGCAAGUGAAACAGAAGUUCACCUUCCCUCAGGGUUUCACGUGGCCGCAGAGCCUUGAAAUUGUUCAGGAGGGUGGAGUGAGGCCGAAGGUCAUUAGAAAGAUAUUGCUGCUAUUUUGAUUUACUUGCUCUUAAUUUCUGUUAACUCUUCCUAAAUUUUAUGAGACUGAUGCUUUUCCUUGAAGCUGGUAAAGGAUUUAAGCACGGGCCCAAACAUAUGAGGUGUGCUGUUCCUCUCACUUGAACUGGGACCUGCAUAUGGAGAUGAGCAAACGAUGACAUUUGCAGAGAAUCAGCACAUCACCCGAUGGCAGAACACGCCCAUUCCAAUGGGCUGGCAAGGAGGGGUGGUGCCAGGGUGUGCUGUGGGCACACAGACCUAACACUAACCCCACACAUCUUGGACCACCGAUUGAUCGCUCUCGUAGAGGCCUGGGGCUCUCAACCUGCUUGCUCUUUGAAAGCUCUGUGCAAAACCGAAGUCACACAUAUAUGCUCCAGGCAUUCACUCCGUAGCUGACACCUUCAUCCAACAACUAUUUGAGCACCUACCCUAUGCCAUUAUACUUGCUGCUGAGGUUGGUGUGGUUUGGCUCUGUGUCCUCAUGUUGAAUUGUAACCCCCACUUGUCAGGGAGGGACCUGGUGGGAAGUGAUUAGAUCAUGGGAACAGGUUCCUCCCUGUUGUUUUCGUGAUACUUAGUGAAUUCUCAUGAUAUCUGAUGGUUUAAAAGUAAAGCACUUCCCCUUUAAGUGCCCUCUCUCCUGCUCCAUCGUGGCAAGACAUGCUUGCUUCCCCUUCUGCCAUGACUGUAAGUUUCCUGAGGCCUCCCAGCCAAGCUUCCUGUUAAGAUGCGGAACUGUGAGUCAAUUAAACCUCUUUUCUUCAUAAAUUAUCCAAUCUCAGUUAGUUCUUUAUAGCAAGGUGAGAAUAGACUAAUACAGAGGUAAGACAGAUUGGAAUUGCAUUCUAGGGAGAAAGGGAAUUUGCAAGUAAAAGAAUACAUUAAAAAGGACAUUGGAUUGUUCUUAAUGGUACAAAAGCGCACUUUGGACAGGGUGGUCAGGGAAGGGCUUUUUGAAGCGGUGCCAAUUAAUGUGUGUUGUUGGAAUGAAACUGUGAAAACAUGAACACGUAGCAUGACUGGGAAUUCAGAGGGGGAAAAGUCAUGUUCUUUGCUCUUCAGGAGUUCAGAGUCUCAGAGGAUAAAGUCAAAACCAUGAGCUGGAAUGAGAAGGGAUCUAAGAGUACAGAUGAAAUAUCUGGCUGUUCUUAGGAAGAAGGGCUGGUCUCUAACUGAAGGCAAAGAGGUCUCCUGAGACAGCUGAUCUUUGACCUCAAGUUGAUUUUAGGAAAGAAAGCGGGUGAGAGUGUUCCGGGCAGAGGAAUACAGCCCUGGGCAGAGAUAGGAACACAGGGCAUGUAUAGGGAACAGCUCGAGGCUUAAUUUGGCUGAAAUAUAGAGAACUUGAAGGAAAGUCAUGGGUGCUGCGGCUGAACUGGCCAAGGGGGGCAUCUUGCCGAGGGUUGCUUGCGUGGCUGGCGUGCCAUUGUCUGCAAACAGCUUUCUGUCUGGCAGUCGCAGACAUAACUUUAAAUGCUGGUGGCAAGUUGCUGUGGCUGAUUGAGGGUCUGCGGAAUCUCCCCCAUUUCCCUGCACAGGGGAGAGGAAGCUACAUACUCACCUCCCGGGACAGAAGUGGAGCCCACUGGAAAUGCAGUUGACCAGCCCAUAUGAUUUUUCACCACCAGUGAAGUUGGUCUGCUGCUUUCCCCAGAGGUGUAGGGUGGAAGGUGCACAAAUCCUAGGCCUUUCCCAUAGGGAUAAUUCAGUCUGAGGGGCGGAAAGGCAGAGGCUCCCACCAGAACAAGCCUCAGGGCAGGUGCCAUGAAUACAGCCCCGUGGACCCUGAGGGGUUGGCUGAGGAGACCAGAGUGGCUGGUCAAUCAAGAAAUCGCAGUCAAACAAAUCAGUGAGGAAAGCAUUUAAAAUGUGUUGCUGGUUAAAUACAGUGGCUAAUCCCAGCACUCUGGGACACUGGGGCUGGAGGAUCACUUGAGCUCAGGAGUUUGAGACCAGCCUGGGUUAACAGCAAGACCUCGCCUCUACUACAAAUAAAAACAAUUUGAAAAACCAGCUGGGUGUGGUAGUGCCUGCACCUGUAGUCAGCUACUCAGGAGGUGGAAGCAGGAGGAUUGCUUGAACUUGGGAGAUGGAGGCUGCAGUGAGCUAUGAUUGCACCACUGCAUUCAACCUGCAUGCAGAGCAAAACCUUACACACACACACACACACACACACACACACACGUUGAGACCCCUAUUUCCCUAUUUUUUCUAGAGUAUUUUUAACAUGCUACCUCCACGGUUGUGUGGGUUUCAUAAGCUGGCCUUCCAAGUCCUCUGAACAAGCUGCCUCUUUGUGCCAUGUGGAUUUAACUGAGGGUGUCACUGGAUUCUUCAUACACCAUAUUCUCCUUUCUGGAAUGCUGCCUCCUGGAUUGCAAGUACAAAAUCACAAAGUGAAUGUGAUGCAAAUGCAGGAAAGACAUGUCUUUGUAACAGACCUUCACAGGAGAUUUGCUAACGUAAAAAGAACAAGCAGAAUAAUGAGGUCCCCAGAGUGACUGAUGGGGGUGCGACAAGCACCCUCACUUUCUAGUGGAUCCAGGUAGUGGCUGUCAAGACCCUUUGUGCUCCAGGAUUUCUGCCACAAUGAGGCCUCUCCUCAAAAGUCCGUUUGGUUCUCAGAACCUCUCUCAGUGAGGACAGCGCCGGGCAUCACCUGCUCUUAGUCCUGAUUGUGAGCCAUUCACUGGCUUUGUGCCCUUAAAAAAGUCCCUACUCCUCAGUAGCCCAAUCCCUAAAGAGGACACCAGAACACCCACCUUCCUGAUUCUCUAGGAUGCUACAGGUCGAUGAGUGUGUACACAUGGCACGGGAAAGAGCAGCAUAACGAAGCGGGAAUCACAGCGGAGAAAGCCACCUGGACUCAGCAUCACGCCACCACACAGUUGCCAGCUUGGUUAAGAAGGAGGCAGUGGGCCGGAAUCCCCCCCUCAAAAAACGUCCCACAGCCAUCUUGGAAAUUUGUCCCUACUCUUAAGGUCCUAGACAGGAAUAUUUGGGGGAAAUCUUUGAUUUUACCCACCUUUUACAAAGUAAACUAAAAAAAAAAAAAUAGAUAACAUGUGCAGAAAAAUGCACGCUUAGGUUUACAAGUAUAUGAGCUGGAUGAAUUUCUGCAAAGUGAAAUUACCCAGUCCCACCCCCAGGCCAAGGUAGAGAACACGGCCAGCAUCACACUCACUGCCCUUUGCAAAAGGCAGAGCUGUAGCGCCAUAGUGAAUCCGCAUCUCUUUGAAUUGUGUAUAAAUGGAACAUACAGCCCAUUAUCUUUCAUGUCGGGAUCCCUUUACUCAACAUUCCAUUUGCAAGACUACCCAUACCUUUGCUCACGCAGGACCUCAUUCAUUCUCAUUGCUGUCUAAUAUUUCACUGUGUAACCGCCACAGUCUAACCAUCCCACUAGUGGUGGGCAUUCGGUCAUCUCCAGAAUGUUGGCUAUUACCAAUAUGUCUUAAGUAUUCUCUUAUAUAUUUUUGAUGCAUAUAUGCGAGCAUUUCUGUAGGAUGUAUACCUAGAAGUUUUUCUUUUUACAAAGCUUUAUUCAAAGAUAUAGCACCUUCUUGACAUACAUCCAAGUAAUUUUUUUCUUUUUAUAAAUGACAGAUAAAAUUGUAUGUAUUUGUCAUGUGCAACAUGAUAUUUUGAUGUGUACAUUGUUGCCUACUUAUCUUUUUAAGAGACAAGGUAUUGCUGUGUGGCCCAGGCUGGACUUGAACAGCUAGGCACUAAGGAUCCUCCUGCCUCAGCAUCCCAGGUAGCUGGGAUUACAGGCAUGCACCACCAUGCCCGGCCCCACCGCUUUUGAAAACCUAUGAUCUCUGUAACGAAGAUGCCCAGACACCUCACUGGUGAACAGCAGGACUUGCUAGAAAUUCUCUUAUAGUAAUUUGCAUCUGGAAAAAUGGGAGAAAUUACAUUCACUAAUUUUUAUUAUAAGCAUUAGCCUUGACACCCACAGGCUGCAGGGCAUCGGACCAUCAAGCAUACAAUGUGGUAUAAGAUAUCCGAGGCUCCCUCACCCGCAGGUUAAGUAGAUUCAUAUUUUUUACUAGAUAGACCCCCACAACAUGACAAGUGGCUUUAAAGAGAGUUGUAUACACACAUGCGUGCGCGCACACACACAUAUACAGAGACUAAAAGGAAUUCUAAUGUUGCAAGCACAAGCAGGCAAGAAAACGACUGUGUCCCCUUCAGCCCCUGGCUCUUCAAACAACUGACAAUUUAUCUGGCAACAAGACCCACCGAUUUCAAAAUAAUCAGUGCACCUUAACAACUGACCUCACUCUAAGUGCAUACAGAGCCUUGAUAUUUAUUGCCUGGUGGGAGUCGUACAUGUAUUUAACAUGUAAAUAACCACAAAUACGCUGGCCGGGAAGCAGGCUCGUGCUUGUCUUAGGCCAGAUUUCCCAGAUACAGAACCAGACCUGGAUUCUUGGACAAGCGAUGGAUUGAGGGUGUUCUUUCAGGAAAAGAGGAGUGUGGGAACGGGACCAGAGCAAGGGAAGGAACUAAGCAAGGCUGUGGCCUCAGCCUGACCCUGCAGGGAGCUCAGGAGCAGACAUCGCACCCCAGAGGAAUUGGAAGAAGCGGACCCUAAAUACACGCUGGCUGUGAGCUGCUCCUGAGAUGGCGGGGACGGGGUGCUCAGGUGUGCGUCAUAACCUCCCAGGUGAGCCUAGGGCAGUGCUCCAGCAAAAGGGGCAGCUGCUGGCAGCCAACAUUCACAGCAGCUGGGAUCUGGGCAGGGCAUAGCAGCGUCUGCUACCAGGCUCACCAUUUACCAAUGGGGCUCGUGUCCAUAAAGUUCAGAGGCUGCUGAUGCUAGACUCAGGGAUGAGCACGACGGGUGUGCUUCCUGUGGUGAGAUGCAGAAAACCCGGAAGCAUUUGGCAUGCCACAGAGCACCCCCACAUUCCCCUCUCCCCCUGAGCACCCGGCAUGGGCCCCCCACCCUCCUUGUCCAGGCUCAGCCGCCAUCAUCCACACUGUGGUCACACCCCGGGACUAUGAUGUGUCUGUUGUUACAUGGAGUCUCCACAAGAGUUGCCUUUGAUCGUAAGAGCUAGAAGGACAUGUUGAUGCCAGUAGGAAGGUGAGCCGGAAAGAUUUAAAGGAUGGCUUGAAGAAACGGGGAGGGAGGGGGGUGCGGGGGGGGGGUCGUUAAGCCAAGAAUGAGGGCAAGGGUAAGAGAACUGACUUGGAGGUAAAAAGAACACACAAAUGCACACCCCACAGAGAGGAUGGGCUAGCCAUGUGGAGCCAGUGUGGAGAGCAGGGAAGAAGAGACCUAGUUCUCAUCCUGGCUCUGUCACCAAAGAGCCGUGGGGCUUGGACAAGCGUCCUACCCUCUCCAGACCCAGCACCAAGAAAAACGUAACACCCAAUCCCUGGAUAGGGCCUGAGCUGCCCAUCCUCCCCAGGGAACCCCCGUCCUGCCGUGGCCCUGCCAUCUGUCCUUACUGGGGUGCUGAUUGCUUCCCUGGCUCUGCUGGCAUCUCCUCAGAGGCCUCUGUCCAUCCCAUCUAAAGGAGCCACCCGACCAUCGUCUUUCAACAUGGCAAUUAGAACAUUGUGGAAUUCUCGGCAUGGGCUGCUGUCUUUGUUUCUUUAACUAUCAGUCUGAGAAGAAGGACCCCGCUGGCUUGUCCGCUGCUCUGUUGCCUGGGCCCAGGAGCACAUCAGGCUCUCAGCAAAUACUUUCUAGAGGCUUCACCAGGCCUUGCCAGAGGGAAAAGGAAGAUUAAAAAGAAGACGAGACUACGGAAAAUUAAAGAAAAAGAAAGAGAGAGAGAAAGAAAGAAAAGAAUGAAAGAGAGAAAGAAAGAGGAAGAGAAAGAGGGAGAGAGAACGGGAAUCUUGCUCUGUUGCCCAGGCUAGAAUGCAGUCUAAAAAUGGAAUGAGAGGCCUGCUUGAGUCACCAUUAAAGUCUUUUCUACCCAACAUGCCUGAAAAAAAAAAAACACCAGCUCUUUGGUGUCUGUAGUUUCGGGGUUUAAGGCUUCUCCACCCUCAUUUCUCCCAAGAGCAGUGAAGAAUCAGAAGAAGGCUUCCUGGACAUUUUAUGAGAAAAGGCACAAAGCCCAUUAAUAAAGGCGUUGUCAAUACGCGUUCCAGGCUGUGCUGUGUGCCUCUCGUCAAGUACACGCUGCAUGAAGAUAGAUGUGAACGGCCAGUGCUUAAGCAAAGGCUCUUUUGAGCAAGAAAAGAAUGUCAGUCAUCAAAGAAUUUCGGAACAUACAGAUCUUCUAGUCUAGGCUAGACCAACACAUAAACCAAAUUCCAAUGAGCUGGCGUUACCCAACACUCAGUGGUCCUGGGAGGCAGGGGGCACCAGAACAGAAGUCUUCUUUGGGAUUUAAUUAGAUUGAGAUGGUUGAUAUGUUCUUCAAGGAGGGAGCUGAGCACUUAAAAUUAUGCCAAAGAUAUUUUUCCCCCGGUGUCUGUUAUGGGAGCCAUGAACCUAUCAAAAUGUGUGAUAAGGAAGCUACUUGUGUCAUUUUAAACUAGUUCAAACCAGCUAGGCUGCUCCCUGCUUUAAGCUGCUGGCUAUCAGCUGUCAUUCAGCCUGGAUGUGAAACAGGCAGGUGGAUGAGGAAGACAUCAUCUUGUUAGAAUCUGCAGGAGCGGGCAAGCAGAAUGCCUAUCAUCAUCACACAUCUCCCAGGCAGGCUCAGGCACAGGCUCCAGCACGAAGCACUGUCUUAGAUCGGCUUUUUCAUUUAAAUGACAUUUUUUGGGGAAAGGUUAGAAUUUAAUCCUCUCUCAGCAUAGAGUUAUUUCAGUUGCCACUGAUCUUUCCGAUAAAUGAGAAGGGUUUCGUUUUUCUUGCUACCAAGGUAUCUAAUUUUAUAAAAGCCUUCAACAAUGUAAUAAUUUAUUGUCACAACAGGAUGGCUGCGUGUAAGGACUGGUCUACUUUCUAUUAAUUUUCUAAAUGAAUCUCUUCUCCUCAGCACUGAGAAGUUGUGCAUGCCUUUCUCUGCGGGUUUCAUUAAGACCUGUUUGAAGUCAUGAUUGUAAGAUCAUUACGAUGUUUUUAAAAGAUAGUGGGUUUCAAAGAGUUGUACUUAGAAGACUUAAAAAGCUUCAUCAUCUUGAUUCCUGUCCUCAGAGCUGUGAUCUGUGUUUGCAGUAAUUGGUAUCAUUUUCCUUGCAAUUUCACACCCAAGUUCUAUUGUUCUAAUUACACCUAGUACUCUUGGGAAAUGA